CUCUAAACAGUCUGUCAGCCUUUGUGGAUGCUCAGUGGAGGUGUGACUUCCCUUCACAGGAUGUUCAGUGGAGGGCCCAUAUCAAAUGUAUUUUUAAGUGAAUGGCUCACAUAUUUUCUGCUAAAAAAAGAGAAUCGUGAAUGAGAAAGACUUUUCCUGUGAGAGGAGACUGAGCCCUGGAGGAGUUGAAUGGUGAAGAUGGUGCCUUAUUCAUGCCUCAGAGGUUGCCGACAAAGGGGAUGCCUGAAGCAGCAGGGAAGCCUUUCAGGAGAAAUCAGCAAGAGAACAUUGAUGUGUAACUUCUCUGAGCAGGAUUGCUGCUGGCUUUAAAGAUAAUGAGGCAUCAGUGUUCUAGCCCCCUGAACUUACCAUCUCCCACAUGCAGUAGGCACCACAGCUGGAAACUUACAACUACAAGAACAGCUAUCCUAAGAAGAACAGCAGUGGGAGGCAGGUCAGAUGUGGAACAUCUCCACAGUGCAAAUUAAGAUGAAUAGGGUUAUUCAUAAAAGGGCACCUGGGCCGGAAAUGGAUGAGCUGAAGCGGACCCUACCAGCCUGGUUCCUGAGAGUAGAAGAGGAAUCUGUCAUCAGAACAAAUGAGCAUCGCGGAGGGUGGGGGCGAAGGCCAAAGGUGCUUUUAGGAGGACACUCAAGUUCUACUGAAACAGAACGCCAGCCUGUUUCUGUUUGGUGUGUGUUUGUAAGUUUAUAGCGGGCAAGGUGGCAACCAGCCUGGCUUGGCAACUUGAUAUGCCAACUACCCUGACCUGCUGGAAGCCAGGCUGUGUACUUGAGGUCUUGUUUUAUGUGCAACCUGCGGAUACCUUGUUAGGAGCACUUUAUGAAAAGAAAUAUUGCAGUCAGUGAUAGUUCAAUGGG
Molecule: long non-coding RNA, 881 nt
Organism: Mastomys coucha (southern multimammate mouse)
Lineage: Eukaryota; Metazoa; Chordata; Mammalia; Rodentia; Muridae
Exons: 5
Source: RefSeq, a predicted model, not a curated record